GGUCCUAUAGCUCAGUUGGUCAGAGCAUCUGACUCAUAAUCAGGGGGUCCAUGGUUCAAGCCCAUGUGGGACCA
RNAcentral lists this transfer RNA (74 nucleotides) under Candidatus Symbiothrix sp. RNAcentral describes it as "tRNA-Ile". It matches the Rfam family "tRNA". Rfam says of the family: Transfer RNA (tRNA) molecules are approximately 80 nucleotides in length. The record is from RNAcentral. Lineage: Bacteria; Pseudomonadati; Bacteroidota; Bacteroidia; Bacteroidales.